GACGAACGCUGGCGGCGUGCCUAACACAUGCAAGUCGAGCGAACGGACGAGAAGUUUGCUUCUCUGAUGUUAGCGGCGGACGGGUGAGUAACACGUGGACAACCUACCUAUAAGACUGGGAUAACUUCGGGAAACCGGAGCUAAUACCGGAUAAUAUGUUGAACCGCAUGGUGCAAAAGAGAAAGACGGUCUUGCGGUCACGUAUAGAUGGAUCCGCGCUGCAUUAGCUAGUUGGUAAGGUAACGGCUUACCAAGGCAACGAUGCAUAGCCGCCCUCAGGGGGUGGUCGACCACACUGGAAGUGAGCCUGGGUCGCGACUCCUGCGGGAGGCCGCAGUAGGGACUCCUACGCGAUGGGCGAGAGCGUGACGGAGCACCGCCGCGUGAGUGCUGAUGGUGUUCCGCUCGGAAAGCUCUGUUAUUUGGGGGAAACUUAUGUGUAAGUAACUGUGCACAUAUUGACGGUACCUGAUCAGAAAGCCACGGCUAACUACGUG
This 497-nucleotide ribosomal RNA is filed under the name uncultured bacterium. RNAcentral describes it as "partial 16S ribosomal RNA". It matches the Rfam family "Bacterial small subunit ribosomal RNA", at positions 28 to 507 of the family's 1533-position model. The record is from RNAcentral.